This 433-nucleotide ribosomal RNA is filed under the name uncultured bacterium. Its description in RNAcentral is "partial 16S ribosomal RNA". It matches the Rfam family "Bacterial small subunit ribosomal RNA", at positions 29 to 507 of the family's 1533-position model. The record is from RNAcentral.
AACGAACGCUGGCGGCAUGCCUAACACAUGCAAGUCGAACGCGACCUUCGGGGUUAGUGGCGGACGGGUGCGUAACGCGUGGGAAUCUGCCCUUGGGUACGGGAUAACAGCGGGAAACUGGUGUUAAUACCGGAUGAUGUCUUCGGACCAAAGAUUUAUCGGCGAGGGAUGAGCCCGCGUUGGAUUAGCUAGUUGGUGGGGUAAUGGCCUACCAAGGCGACGAUCCUUAGCUGGUCUGAGAGGAUGAUCAGCCACACUGGGACUGAGACACGGCCCAGACUCCUACGGGAGGCAGCAGUGGGGAAUAUUGGACAAUGGGCGCAAGCCUGAUCCAGCAAUGCCGCGUGAGUGAUGAAGGCCUUAGGGUUGUAAAGCUCUUUUACCAGGGAUGAUAAUGACGGUACCUGGAGAAUAAGCCCCGGCUAACUUCGUG